GUGUUUGAAAUGGUAAGCAUAAUUUGUGAUAAGUGAAUGGUCAGACUUAUAACUCGUAAGAUCCUUGAAAAGAUACAAAUAAAACAAAAUUGACAAUUAGCAAUUCAAACAAGAAAAGUAUCCAAAGUUCAAAACUAAAGUCUAAUACUCCUUUCUUUCGGUAAAAUCUAAUUUGUCUGCUCAGUUCUCUAAUCCUUUCCCAAACUUGCACAAAUGGGUGUCAUAAAAUCUUGGGGAAAUAUUUUUAACCUUUUAUUCCUUAGCGCAUAUCCAUGCAUUCCUUAAUGGACGACUUCCGCAUGGUUCUGGUGAUCACACACAUUAUAUGCAUAGACCCAAAUCUAUGUAGAAAAUAAUGUCUAAAUCAUUAUUUUCAUGACGCAAGUUACAACAAUUCAUAUAAAUUAACUUGGAAGACUAUUUGCAUAAGUUAUAAUAAACUAUCAAUGUUAAUUCUACCAAAUUUUAAUUUAAAUACGAUACCCAAGUAUAAAUGACAUCAUUUAUCAUAUAAAUAAAAUAAACCAAGUUGCUUUGGUCUAGUGGUAUAGGAGCUCUAGCUGUAGUGUCCGCCCCUGGGUUCGAACUUUGGCCACUACGGAAUUUACAUAUUGGCUGCAGCAUCUGAGAUCGAAGACCGUUAUACGGUGAGCCACAUGGUGACGCCCUGACAGCGUCCAUGCUCACUUCGGUCUCUAGUCUGGACCACUUCGGUGGGGUCAGGAUACUCGGUUAGCAAAAAAAAAAAAUUUAUCAUAUAAAUAAACGAUGGAUUACAGAUGCAAAACCUUUACCUCUCCGGAUCCCAGCCAUCAAAGGUUCGCUCACAUCUUCCCCGUGACAGUCACAGUUUACUAUUUUAUGGUGAGUUUUUGGAGUUAUCGUUUUUUUCCUUACAAAUAAAAGCACCAGAAGGUUCCAUAGAGGCACAUAACCUUUGGGACCCUUAGUUAACUCGAGCAUGAAUGUGUAAAGACACUUCCAGACUAUUCGGAAGUUAUAACCCCUUUUUUUUUGUUCCUGGCCAUACGUUUCCAGAUAUGUUCAGAUAUUGAAAACGUUUUCAAGCUAUGUUAUGUAUUUCAUAUAUAUUAAAGGCGUACACAUGAAUCUCCAAUUUA
This 1121-nucleotide long non-coding RNA is filed under the name Brassica rapa (field mustard). RNAcentral describes it as "long non-coding RNA (BRAP_LNC000264)". The record is from RNAcentral. Lineage: Eukaryota; Viridiplantae; Streptophyta; Magnoliopsida; Brassicales; Brassicaceae.